This 364-nucleotide long non-coding RNA is filed under the name Cricetulus griseus (Chinese hamster). Its description in RNAcentral is "lncRNA (ENSCGRG00015039518.1)". Lineage: Eukaryota; Metazoa; Chordata; Mammalia; Rodentia; Cricetidae. The record is from RNAcentral.
UCAGGCGGGGGUGGUGGGAUGGGGGUGGUGGGGUGUUCUGGUCUGGGGUCGGGAGCGGGCAGGGGCUCACUCACCUAGUUCCAGGUCAGUCUGCGGCGGCGGAAUGUAAGAAUGGGGUGCUAGCGGAUUGGUGGGGCAGGGGGCUCCUCCCUCUCUGGGCGUGUCUGGCCCAAGCCGGCAGGCUCAGGAGGGGGUGGUGGGAUGGGGGUGGUGGGGUGUUCUGGUCUGGGGUCGGGAGCGGGCAGGGGCUCACUCACCUAGUUCCAGGUCAGUCUGCGGCGGCGGAAUGUAAGAAUGGGGUGCUAGCGGAUUGGUGGGGCAGGUGGCUCCUCCCUCUCUGGGCGUGUCUGGCCCAAGCCGGCAG